RNAcentral lists this ribosomal RNA (135 nucleotides) under Leptospira weilii serovar Heyan. Its description in RNAcentral is "partial 23S ribosomal RNA". It matches the Rfam family "Bacterial large subunit ribosomal RNA", at positions 2798 to 2925 of the family's 2925-position model. Lineage: Bacteria; Pseudomonadati; Spirochaetota; Leptospiria; Leptospirales; Leptospiraceae. The record is from RNAcentral.
CUGAAGAUAAGAUCUCCCUGGGAGCAAUCCCCUAAAGACCCCAAGAAGAUGACUUGGUUGAUAGGUCACAGAUGUAAGUGUGGUAACACAUUCAGUCGAGUGAUACUAAUCGGUCGUGAGGCUUGACCAUAUUAC